Anopheles arabiensis is the source of this 2207-nucleotide long non-coding RNA. RefSeq lists it as uncharacterized. The record is from RefSeq and is a predicted model, not a curated record. NCBI's taxonomy places the organism in Eukaryota, Metazoa, Arthropoda, Insecta, Diptera, Culicidae. The transcript has 2 exons.
UCUCGUUCUAGUCUAAGAUAAGAAAUUUUUCAAAAAAACUUCUUAUUUUGCCACUUUUACACGACAAUUAUACGAGGCUGUACUAGAUUAAGGGCCUGACGAAGAAAAAUGUGUGCUUGGAUAUCUGUGGUGUACUCAUAGACCAUGUUAUUUGAUUAUAUGCAUUAAUGACUGUAUGCGGCUCUUACCCGUUCAUUUAUUUCAUAGAACUUUCACACAAUUUUGCUCUGAGUUUAACAAUUUCGCUCUUCACGUGAAUCUCUACGAACAUGUUUGUAUAAUUAGGCUCUUUCGGACGAAAAGUUUGCCGACCGCUGGUAUAAGUGAAAAAAGUCUUAAAAUCAUAACUUAAUGAGUAAACUUUUGGAAAAGCAGACUACAAAUUCUUCCGUUCAGUUUUAUCUACAUUAGUGUAUAUGUUCUCCAACACAUCAAAUGUUAUUGUGAAUUUUUGAAAAGAAAAAAAACAUAACAUAAUACGUACGGCUAUCUAAUAAUAUCAGUGAUUUGUGUUCAAUUAAUUUACCUUUCGCCAUACAAUCAUAAGUAUGAUUAAAGAUAAUAAUCAGUGUUAUGAUGAUCGUUGUUUGAUGCAACAUACAUUUUAAAUUUCAAACAAUAAACAAAUACUGAGAUAAUAUCUAUUUAGUGAUCAAUUAAAAGUGAUUGUGAAACUAUUUGUUUAUUUAAUUUAGUUUAGUUUAGUGUUUAUUAAUCGAUGGACUACAAAGGCCUCUCGUGUCAAAUAGUAUUCACAAUAUACAAUAAAUAACGAACAGAAAAUUUAUAUAUAGGACGCAACACUUAAACGUGAAGUCCGCUCUGCCAUCGUCAUUCCAGGCGCGUAGAGAUCGUCAACUGAAUUUAUUGAUAUAAUACAGCGGUUUUCAACCGGUGGGGAUAUCUCUCCAUAGAGGGAAUUUUUGUUUUGCUAAAAUGGAAGGGAUGGAGAAUAGUGUAUCGUAGUUUCUGUUAUCCAUAAUAGAUAGAUAGCCAUAUUUGAAUACAGGAUACGCAAACUUUACGACUGAAAGAGCUAAAUUCUACAAAAUUCUUCGUAGAGUUCCAUGUGAAGAGCCAAAUACAUAAGCCAAGAAUAAAAAAUGGGUGAAAUGUCUAUGAAAUAUUAGCCGCCAUCUCAACACAAAGGAGGAUCGCUGAUCUAGAGGAAUACUUUUAGAAUCACUAUAAGUGAGAUGUGAGACCAACUAACUUUACAAAAUGCAUGGCGUACCUUCGAUACUGAAAGCAAGCACCAGGAUUAAAAUUUGUCAUUGCACAUUGGGUGUUACCUUGCACCUUGUAUGUCGUAUGUAUCGAUGCCGUUUCCGGAACUAUUAGUCCGGAGCCAGGGGCUAUAGCCGUUGAGUAUAUGCCGGCUUCAAAGCCGUAAGCACAUCUAAAAGAAUCAAUCAUUCGAAGAAUCGAUUAUAAACUCAAAAGAAAUUUACAGCGUUAGUUUUAAAUAGGAAUUUGGAUCAAGUUUUAUUGAUCACUUUGGUCAGUUCGGUCACUACUACUCAUCUGAAGAAUUUUGUGCAAAAUAAUAAGUGAAGUUUAAAGUAUUGCGUUCGUUGGACAGUACUGUGCAGUCUGACCUACACUGAGUUUAUGUGUCCCCGAAACAUCCAUGUAUCUUAAAUAUUCGCGUAAGCCGUUUAUACGUUUUAGAGCCAAAGACAUUUGAUAAUUGAGAAUGUUUUAUUAAUUUUAGUGAUUGAAACUCUCAAUCAUAUGUUAAAUACGAUACGUGCAGAAUUUUAUAACUGGUUUUUAAUUUAGCGAUUUAUUUGUUUUUAGCAGCCCUGCUAUUUAUUUUGCGUUAAAUAAAUCUUGGAGUAAAUUGUACUGAUUUACCACAUUAACCGUAUAAUUUAGAAACCGUGUAUUUCCGAAUCUGCAUAAAUUAAGAAACUUGUAACUCAGGAACAGACUGUUUUAUGUGUAUCUUUCAGUGAAGAAUACUAGAUUUUUUAUCAUUUAGGAUUAAGCAAGUGGUCUUUAUGUACCGAUUAUUUUAGCGAACUCUUAAUGAUUGGGAUGAGAUGAUUAUUUGAUUGCUCUUAAAUUUUGCUGUUGGUCUGGUUUUGACGGUAAAAUAAGCGAUUAACAUAGCGGCCAUCAAUUUAACUCCUUUAAAAUAGAAUACAAAACUAUUUCAGUGGAAAAUAAACAAAUAACGAUUUAACGAUCACUUAAAUUAUUCA